CCUACGGGUGGCAGCAGUGGGGAAUAUUGGGCAAUGGGCGAAAGCCUGACCCAGCAACGCCGCGUGAAGGAAGAAGGCUUUCGGGUUGUAAACUUCUUUUGACAGGGAAGAGCAGAAGACGGUACCUGUCGAAUAAGCCACGGCUAACUACGUGCCAGCAGCCGCGGUAAUACGUAGGUGGCAAGCGUUGUCCGGAUUUAUUGGGUGUAAAGGGUGCGUAGACGGGGAAGCAAGUUAGUUGUGAAAUCCCUCGGCGUAACUGAGGAACUGCAACUAAAACUACUUCCCUUGAGUACUGGAGAGGAAAGUGGAAUUGCUGGUGUAGCGGUGAAAUGCGUAGAUAUUAGGAAGAACACCGGUGGCGAAGGCGACUUUCUGGACAGUAACUGACGUUGAGGCACGAAAGUGUGGGGAGCAAACAGGAUUAGAUACCCUGGUAGUC
RNAcentral lists this ribosomal RNA (442 nucleotides) under uncultured bacterium. RNAcentral's name for it is "partial 16S ribosomal RNA". It matches the Rfam family "Bacterial small subunit ribosomal RNA", at positions 338 to 795 of the family's 1533-position model. The record is from RNAcentral.